GGGGAAUUUUGGACAAUGGGCGAAAGCCUGAUCCAGCCAUGCCGCGUGAGUGAAGAAGGCCUUCGGGUUGUAAAGCUCUUUCGGCGGGGAAGAAAUCGCAUUCACUAAUACUGGAUGUGGAUGACGGUACCCGAACAAGAAGCACCGGCUAACUACGUGCCAGCAGCCGCGGUAAUACGUAGGGUGCGAGCGUUAAUCGGAAUUACUGGGCGUAAAGCGUGCGCAGGCGGUUUUGUAAGUCUGAUGUGAAAUCCCCGGGCUCAACCUGGGAACUGCAUUUGAGACUGCAAGGCUAGAGUACGGCAGAGGGGGGUGGAACUCCACGUGUAGCAGUGAAAUGCGUAGAGAUGUGGAGGAACACCGAUGGCGAAGGCAGCCCCCUGGGCCAAUACUGACGCUCAUGCACGAAAGCGUGGGGAGCAAAC
RNAcentral lists this ribosomal RNA (425 nucleotides) under uncultured bacterium. Its description in RNAcentral is "bacterial SSU rRNA". It matches the Rfam family "Bacterial small subunit ribosomal RNA", at positions 356 to 773 of the family's 1533-position model. The record is from RNAcentral.